Long non-coding RNA from Astatotilapia calliptera (eastern happy), 5604 nucleotides. Lineage: Eukaryota; Metazoa; Chordata; Actinopteri; Cichliformes; Cichlidae. The record is from Ensembl.
UAAUUAAUGCAAUUUACAGUCAAGCCAAAGAGCGAACUAUAUUAAGUGAUACGUAUUCACAUUAUGUCCUAACAGGGUUUACAGCAUAUCUUGUGUUCUGUAAGCAUAAUUGUUACAAAAAGAAAAAAAAAAAGAAAACGUAUAAGAGAAAUCAAAGCUUACAAUAACAAGAACAAGGAGCUUAGCAGUGGAUUUGAAACAUAUGAAAUGAGCAAAAGACCCUCACCAGAACAGGAAUGACAGCAAAUUCAGUUUUGGCAUGUUGUGGUUUAAAUAAGGGAGUAAAAGAGAUAGAGAAACUAAAAUAUAUGCAAAAUAUAAGUGAGCUCAAAAUGACAGGAGGAAAGGGAGGUUUGAAUUCACGCGGCUUUGCAGGGCUACCUCUGCCAAGAGACUUUGGUCACUUUGCUUCUCUGUCAUGGCUUAUAAUUAUAAGAAAGAAAAGAAAAAAAAGGAGUGUCCUGGUAUUAGUUCUGAGUUAAUUUUGUAUCAAUUUUGAUUAUCUUCUGUCAGAAAACAACAACAAAAAAGUUUUGUAGUCAACUGCAACUCCAGGACAGACUGUACAUUCUCAGGAGGUAGAUAACAUGAAGUCUUAAAAGAAAGCGUGUCUAAAUUGGAAUCGAGCUCUUUGUCAAGUCUGUGAAACUGUAGUGCAUAAUUUGUUUAAGGCCAAAUAGGAACCUCACUUGUAGAUCUAAGGCUAUUUUAAGACAAAGGGUGUCAGGGUGGAGGAGGGAAGUGCACGGGAUGGGAUGGAGGGGUGGAGGACAGGGUGAGCAGAUACAGCCCUUACAUGUCAGUGCCUGAGUCAACAGUCGCGCUUUACCACAGCUGCUCGGUGCACGUCAACCCUUGGUUAACUGAACCCAAUCUUUUUUUUUCCUUUUUGGCUACGCACAUGCAGGGAAGAUGCCAAAAAAAAAAGGAUAAAAUAAAAUAGAAAAGGACGCAGAAAUGAGACGAGGAAUAUUCUGAUUGACAUUAUGACUUGCAUAAAUGACACGUUAUUUGGCCACAUGGUGUAACAUGUUACAAGAAGAGCUAUCAGCGUGGGCACAGCCUGAAGUGACAUUCAAACCUCCCCUAGAGGGGAAAAUUAUGUUACUGGACAAUAUGAAGCACACUAAAAGAACAAAACAAAACAAAAAAAGGUCAAUGCAGCAUAUAUCAGGCUUAUGAGGUACUUCAUGAAUAUAUAGAUAUAUCAAUGUUUUUAGAAAAGCUCCUCCGAGUCAUAUUAUUCCUUAUAAUUCCUAUUGAUAGCGUAAAAUACCUCGUCAGUUUUAUUCUUAUUAUCAGCCCAAUCUCAGAUGGGCCUCCUUUUUUUUUCUUUUUUUUUUUUCUUGAGACCGCUUUGAAAGUGCAAAACACAAAUACUGAUCGUUCUAUGCAGCAUCUACACACGAGGUUGCAUGGUAGUUAAAACUUUUUUUUCUUUUUUACUUUUUAUGCGGCAUGACAGAUUUUAGUCAAAACUUUAUUUUGAAAGGACUCACAAAACCCGAGAGAGAGAGAGAGAGAUCCGACAAAAGGCUACGACCUGUACUCAACAACCACACACGACCUCGCGUGUGCCUUCCGUCGGAUUUCAAUUCUUUUUCUUUGUGUGAAGUGUAUUCAGAUGUGGAUUUUCCCUUUGUUAAUGAAAAAUAAUAAUAAUAAUAAUAAUAAUAAUAAUAAUAAAAAAUAAUGGCAUUGAGUGUGGCGAGUACCAGAUGGGGAAAUCCACUCUGGAUUUUAUUGCAGUUUGGGUUGAAAAAAAUGUAGGCAUGUGGUAACAGCGUGGCUCUGUUCACUAAGAAGCCUUGAUAUUUCUAAACUUGCUGGCAAAACAAAAACUGAAAAAGAAGCUGGUUCCAUAAAUUGAGACUAAGUUUGUCUGAUCUCACAGGCAUUUGUCUUGCCAACUAAAAGCCUGCCCACAGUGGACAGACUGGUUUAAAAAGAAAAAGAAAAAACACCAACAAUCUGCAGCCCACGCUCAGGAAAUUUAUUGCUGUGCAUACAUCUUUUCCACAAACCUUCGUCGCCACUACAAACGUCUUUUUAAAAUCAACAGGUUUUGCUGGAUUAUCAACAUGUCAUGAAUUAGCAAUUACGAUGGCACCUUUUAAAAGAUCCAGACAUCUUUUAUAGUUAGCAUUACACGUGAACGAGUCCUAGAUUGUGCUUGGCUGUCUUCAUCGACUCACAUUAAAAACAAUGAGACUCCCGAUAGUAAAAAAAUUUGGUCCGGUAAAAUGUAACCAACUAAAGCAACCAACCAGUCCAUGCAGGAUUACUUAUUAAGGGUGAAAACCCCCCAAAACAGACAGUGCUUUGAUGUGAUAUUGGCUUUCAUUGGUUUGGUCACUACAAUUUCUUCAUUUUGUUGUCACUCAUAAAUUAGGGAUAAUAUUAGCUAGCACCCGACACUGCUCUGAGGUAGUUUUAUCCAAGUCAGUAAAUAAAAAGCCAAGUCGUUCACAAGACUAAAAAUGCUUGGAAAAAUACAAAUAAAAAAUACCCACAAGUCUUGCAUGAUUGGAUUCAUAUAGUUCAGCUUAAUGGUGAUGGCUUGGUUAAGUUCUGUAACGGCUCUCCUCAGUCUAGAUCUGAUUUACUACGUCAUCCAGCCUAACCCUGAAUAGCCACCUGGAUGCAGAUGUGUCACCUGUCAAUGCCACAGCUGCCAGAUUACUGUGUGCUUUUCUGCACCCUGCUGGUUGCCAGAGGAGCUUAGAAGUUCACUUGUGAAUGCACAUAAAUAGCUAUAUUCAAUUAGAAUUUAUAGACAAGAAAUUAGGAUAAAAUGGCAUCCAGCAGGCAAUGAUUUAAAAAAGUGCAGUUCGAGCAUACCAAACCAUCUACUUGACAUUAAAAUAUUCCGUGGAUAAAGAAAAUUCAAGUGCUAACAAAAUGACUGGGAUUGAUCCUUUUAUGAUCAAGACAUUUUCCUGGCCAUUUUUCCACUAGAUGUUUAAUUAGAAACAAAGUAGUACGGCCAACACUGUAAUCUUGCAUUCCCGUUUCUUUGGCUUCAGUCACACAGGUCUAGAGAGUGGUUGGCGAUCCCUGGAAACCUCAAGUGGCCAGGGAACAAUGUUUAUUCCUAACUAGUUGUUAAGUGGUUGCUGGAAGUUCCUGGCUGUCACCAAAACCUUUCUAGUGAAUAGUUUGGUUGCCUAUAUUUUGCAUGGAACAUUCCAACUUGUCUGCAAACACUUGCCAAUUAACCACUGAGUAGUAGUGAAACUGUGAAAAGUGCAAUGCAAAACAAAAACUGUCAUAGUAAAAGUGAAAUUUUAGCUGAAACCAACACGUUUUAAAAGUCACAUCUUUUGCUUUGAUGGCAAACCAGCACCAUUUCCAGUUUGUGUCGCACUUUUCACAGUUUCACUACUGCUUGGUGGUGGUUGCUAAGUGUUUGCAGACAAGUUGGCAUCUCCCAUGCAAACUAGAAGCGACCAUGGAAAUGUGCUAGCAACCAAAACAAGGAGAAUUUUGGCUUAGGGCUGUAUACCCCUUUGCAGCCAACUUGACCUAGUGACCGCAAAAAACAAAACAAAAAACAAAGAAAAAGAAACUUCCAGCAACCACAUUGAAAAAUGGUUGCCAGGCAGUCCCCAACUGGUCUCUAGGCCUGUGUGACUGAUGUCUUAAACACAUCCAAGGUAAAGUGAAUGAAACAGCUGCAUCCAAUGGAAUUGAACAGGUCUUUCCUUAUUGGUACACCACUGGAAUUUAUACUAAUUGUUGACACUUGUAGCUAAAACAAGAAUACAGGCAAACUUUAUGGAUACCAAACGGGCAGCAAAUGGUUACAGAUAAUUGAGUGGACAUUGGCAUAACUGUCAGAGACAAAAAGUGAUGCUUAUUUAGAAAAAAAAAAUCUAUGUCACACAGGAACGGGAUGUUAUGUAUAUGCCAUGUAUAUAUAGGUCAGUUAUAGAUCUAAAAAAAAAAAAAAAAAACAACAACUAAAAAACUAAACAAAACAAAAAACCCAGCUGUGUAGCAAUACAAAUGAAAAAAGGAACAGAAGUAACACUUAAAACAAAAAGCUUCUCUGCAUUUAUGUGGCACUGCACUAAUUAAUGUAAUAAUUCAGGGAGGAUUUUACAAGACAGCUCUGUAGGGGCUGGACAGGAAUACGAGACCCGAGGGCUUAAGCAUACGUUUAAAAUCGAACAGCAAAUGAGAUCACACACCUACGCAAACCACCUAAUAUACACACAAAGCGCUUAUGUUUUAGCACCUCACACAAGUAUGAUGCCAGGACUCAAAGGAUGGCUACUCUUUGCACCAGUGUGAAACAUAUGUCUCCUAAAAGUACAGUAGCCAACAUCCAGAGAAAGACAGCACAACUGUGAAAUUACUACUUUCAUUUCAUAUCAGAAAGAAUAAAAAUAAAAAGAUUAUAUGGUCUGUGACAUGAGCAAUAUUUAAAUGACUGAGAAGAAGAAAACAAUACUUUCUGGAAUUAAUAAAGCCUAUAAAUAAAGAGAAGAAAACAGAAAGAAAAGGCUGUACAUAAGAUGCAAAGAUGAGUAUAAAUGUACUGGAUGGAUAGCCUAUACAACAUUACAAACCACGCAGGUUCUAAUUACAUUCAUUUUUAAUAUAUGGAGCUAGGAAAAUAGGAUCUACUCUACAAGAGAUCUCUUUAUAACAGCAAGAUUUUCUCCACAAGAGACAGAUAAGCGACAGAAAGAGGAGACAUUACUAUACAGAGGGUAAUGGUAUGGAAUUAAUUCAUGUAAGGGGACUGCUUCAUUAGAAAGCCGGCUUUAAUUUUGUACUCCAUGACCAUUAAAAAAAAUGAAAAUAAAUUAAAAAGAAUACUAUUAAUAAAAACAAACAAACAAAAACGCAAAGGCUGAUGGUUACCAUUUGGAGAAAUGUUAUCAUUACCUCUUAAAAACUAAAGAAAAUUAUGAGAAAAUAAUUUGCUGAUUAAAAUAGCUUAUGAUAUGCCAUUUAGUUUACGAAAAAGCUAUUUCUAAAACUUGCUUUAUCCGCGUUUUGGCCGCUCCGAAAGAUAAUGGGAAAACAGCCAAAGUGAGGUGAAUGUGUGCAUUUAAUUGCCUUGUUUGAGAAUGUUUUUAGGGGCAGCACUACAGCUGUUCUGAAAGCCUCACUGCUCCACUUUACUUGAAAAGCAUUGCCACAUUCAUCCAGGCUACAAGUAUUGGUCUGUUAAACAUUCUUGACUGAGCUCAUACUGUAUUUCAUUGUUCUUGUAACAGUCACAAUAAAGUAUUCUGUUCUAUUGUGACGAAGAUGAUUUAUGUGAAAAAGGAAAAGCCUCUUCUGAGUUGUGAUAUGUGUAGUUUGUAGCGAUUUUAGAGAAAAAGAGGCCUUACUAAGAACAACUUAAUGUGCACAUGGCUGUCACAGCCGUGUCAAACCUUAAUACUCAAACACUGUGGCAUUGAUGCGCCGGCUACAAACCCCCCGCAAAUCUCCUGCCUAUGAUUGGCGACACUUGUUGACUGUGCAUCUUUUAUUUUGAAAAGCCACCAAAAUCCAAAAAUCCAGGCUGCCAGCCUGCCCCCUGAUAAACACUCUCAAUACAUGACUAGCUCUAAGUCCUUUGUUUAGUGCAAAGAAAAACAAAAC